Molecule: ribosomal RNA, 231 nt
Filed under: uncultured bacterium
Lineage: Bacteria
Description: partial 16S ribosomal RNA
Rfam family: Bacterial small subunit ribosomal RNA
Source: RNAcentral
CCCGUCCUACGGGGGGCAGCAGUGGGGGAUAUUGCACAAUGGGGGAAACCCUGAUGCAGCGACGCCGCGUGAGUGAAGAAGUAUUUCGGUAUGUAAAGCUCUAUCGGCAGGGAAGAAAAAAAUGACAGUACCUGCCUAAGAAGCCCCGGCUAACUACGUGCCAGCAGCCGCGGUAAUACGUAGGGGGCAAGCGUUAUCCGGAUUUACUGGGUGUAAAGGGAGCGUAGGUGG